This is a non-coding RNA of Aedes aegypti (yellow fever mosquito), 72 nucleotides long. NCBI's taxonomy places the organism in Eukaryota, Metazoa, Arthropoda, Insecta, Diptera, Culicidae. The record is from Rfam.
GGCUCGGUAGCUUAGUUGGUAAAGCGCUCGUCUAGCAUACAAGAGUCCUCAGUUCAAAUCCCAGCCGAGCAC